Molecule: long non-coding RNA, 460 nt
Organism: Pan troglodytes (chimpanzee)
Lineage: Eukaryota; Metazoa; Chordata; Mammalia; Primates; Hominidae
Exons: 3
Source: RefSeq, a predicted model, not a curated record
CCAUGGCAUUUAGGACAAAACUCAAAGUCCUUCUCCUGGGCUGCCAGGCGUUCCAAUAGUUCUCCUAGUGAGGGCCAAUUGAACUAUCAACCAAGACUCAAAAGCAAGGGGUUAAAUGAGCUGAUGAUGCAUAUUUAGCACUUGGAACAGCAUGUGAACCAAAGUAAACGUGGUAGACUGAAAAACAUGGCCCUGCGUUUUCACAGCCUUAGAAAUGAGAUGUUGCAUCUCCUCCCAGGAAGUUACAGAACUCUGCACCUACAAGUGGGCAGCCCAGCCAGCUUGCUGCAGGAGAGGCCAUGCAAAGCACAGGUCAGCUGUCCAUGCUCAGGCCUCUCCCACCCAGACCAACUAGCCCCACGCAAUCCAGAAGACAACCACAGAUGCCAGAAGAACCACCCAGAUAGUCCCAGCACAAACUGCUGUAAAAUUACGAAUUAAACAAAGGUAUUGUUUUAAA